UUGGGGUGUGCGCAAAAAUCUGAAUUUCAGAUUUUUGAUCCUAAGAGUUUGGGAAGAGAGAAUAAAAUAGAGAAAAAUUAUUUUCUUCUCAAUCUUUUUUCACUUUUUAUCUCCUCUAGAAGUUCAUCUUCAACCUCUAAAAAGAUUUCAGAGAUUUGAAGAAAGGAUCCAGUUUAGCCAAGAAGAAGGACUUCGCGCGAGCUAGCACUCCCAAAAAGAUCGAUCAGAUUGAGGCUUCUAGUGAAUUUUUCAUAGUGGCC
Molecule: long non-coding RNA, 260 nt
Filed under: Elaeis guineensis (African oil palm)
Lineage: Eukaryota; Viridiplantae; Streptophyta; Magnoliopsida; Arecales; Arecaceae
Description: long non-coding RNA (EGUI_LNC075493)
Source: RNAcentral